ACGCUCGACACCUACGGAGGCAGCAGUCGGGAAUAUUGCGCAAUGGAGGAAACUCUGACGCAGUGACGCCGCGUAUAGGAAGAAGGUUUUCGGAUUGUAAACUAUUGUCGUUAGGGAAGAAAAAAGACAGUACCUAAGGAGGAAGCUCCGGCUAACUACGUGCANNCGCGNGUAUNGAGGCGGGCGUGGACGAGGC
This 196-nucleotide ribosomal RNA is filed under the name uncultured bacterium. Its description in RNAcentral is "partial 16S ribosomal RNA". It matches the Rfam family "Bacterial small subunit ribosomal RNA", at positions 328 to 545 of the family's 1533-position model. The record is from RNAcentral.